UUAGAGUUUGAUCCUGGCUCAGGAUGAACGCUAGCGGCAGGCUUAACACAUGCAAGUCGAGGGGCAGCGCGAGUGGCAACACUUGGCGGCGACCGGCGCAAGGGUGCGUAACGCGUGAGCAACAUGCCCUCUUCACGGGGAUAACCCGGAGAAAUCCGGCCUAAAACCCGAUGGUGAUUUGGACAGGCAUCUGUUCUAAUCUAAAACUUCGGUGGAAGAGGAUUGGCUCGCGUGACAUUAGGUGGUUGGUGGGGUAACGGCCCACCAAGCCUACGAUGUCUAGGGGAACUGAGAGGUUGGUCCCCCACACUGGAACUGAGACACGGACCAAACUCCUACGGGAGGCAGCAGUGAGGAAUAUUGGUCAAUGGGCGGAAGCCUGAACCAGCCAAGUCGCGUGAAGGAUGAAGGUAUUAUGUAUUGUAAACUUCUUUAGACGCAGAGAAAUAAGCCGCUCGUGAGCGGUGAUGCUAGUAUGCGUAGAAUAAGGAUCGGCUAACUCCGUGCCAGCAGCCGCGGUAAUACGGAGGAUCCGAGCGUUAUCCGGAUUUAUUGGGUUUAAAAGGGUGCGCAGGCGGUCUCUUAAGUCAGUGGUCAAAAUUGCGGAGCUCAACUCCGUCCCGCCAUUGAUACUGGGAGACUUGAUUUCGGUCGAGGUAGGCGGAAUUCGUCGUGUAGCGGUGAAAUGCAUAGAUAUGACGAAGAACACCGAUUGCGUAGGCAGCUUACCAGCCCGACAAUGACGCUCAUGCACGAAAGUGCGGGGAUCGAACAGGAUUAGAUACCCUGGUAGUCCGCACAGUAAACGAUGAAUACUUGCUCUCGGCGAUAUACGGUCGGGGGCAAAGCGAAAGCGAUAAGUAUUCCACCUGGGGAGUACGCCGGCAACGGUGAAACUCAAAGGAAUUGACGGGGGCCCGCACAAGCAGCGGAGCAUGUUGUUUAAUUCGAAGCAACGCGAAGAACCUUACCAGGUCUUGACAUCGAGGAAAAGCUACAGAGAUGUAGUGUGAGCUUGCUCAUCCGAAGACAGGUGGUGCAUGGUUGUCGUCAGCUCGUGUCGUGAGAUGUUGGGUUAAGUCCCGCAACGAGCGCAACCCUUAUGGUCAGUUACUAACGCGUGAUGGCGAGGACUCUGACAAGACUGCCGGGGACAACUCGGAGGAAGGUGGGGACGACGUCAAAUCAUCAUGCCCCUUAUGACCUGGGCUACAAACGUGCUACAAUGGUGGUUACAAAGAGCAGCGAGCCUGUGAAGGUAAGCGAAUCUCAAAAAAGCCAUCUCAGUUCGGACUGUGGGCUGCAACCCGCCCACACGAAGUUGGAGUUGCUAGUAAUCGCGGAUCAGAAUGCCGCGGUGAAUACGUUCCCGGGCCUUGUACACACCGCCCGUCAAG
Molecule: ribosomal RNA, 1397 nt
Filed under: uncultured bacterium
Lineage: Bacteria
Description: partial 16S ribosomal RNA
Rfam family: Bacterial small subunit ribosomal RNA
Source: RNAcentral